GACGUAGGGCGCGAGCGUUGUCCGGAUUUAUUGGGCGUAAAGAGCUCGUAGGCGGCUCGUUGCGUCGUCUGUGAAAACCCGCAGCUCAACUGUGGGCUUGCAGCUGAUACGGGCGGGCUGGAGUUCGGUAGGGGAGACUGGAAUUCCUGGUGUAGCGGUGAAAUGCGCAGAUAUCAGGAGGAACACCGGUGGCGAAGGCGGGUCUCUGGGCCGAUACUGACGCUGAGGAGCGAAAGCGUGGGGAGCGAACAGG
RNAcentral lists this ribosomal RNA (253 nucleotides) under uncultured bacterium. Its description in RNAcentral is "partial 16S ribosomal RNA". It matches the Rfam family "Bacterial small subunit ribosomal RNA", at positions 524 to 776 of the family's 1533-position model. The record is from RNAcentral.